GAUGAACGCUGGCGGCGUGCCUAAUACAUGCAAGUCGAGCGAACGGACGAGAAGCUUGCUUCUCUGAUGUUAGCGGCGGACGGGUGAGUAACACGUGGAUAACCUACCUAUAAGACUGGGAUAACUUCGGGAAACCGGAGCUAAUACCGGAUGAUAUUUUGAACCGCAUGGUUCAAAAGUGAAAGACGGUCUUGCUGUCACUUAUAGAUGGAUCCGCGCUGCAUUAGCUAGUUGGUAAGGUAACGGCUUACCAAGGCAACGAUGCAUAGCCGACCUGAGAGGGUGAUCGGCCACACUGGAACUGAGACACGGUCCAGACUCCUACGGGAGGCAGCAGUAGGGAAUCUUCCGCAAUGGGAGAAAGCCUGACGGAGCAACGCCGCGUGAGUGACGAAGGUCUUCGGAUCGUAAAACUCUGUUAUUAGGGAAGAACAUAUGUGUAAGUAACUGUGCACAUCUUGACGGUACCUAAUCAGAAAGCCACGGCUAACUACGUG
Molecule: ribosomal RNA, 497 nt
Filed under: uncultured bacterium
Lineage: Bacteria
Description: partial 16S ribosomal RNA
Rfam family: Bacterial small subunit ribosomal RNA
Source: RNAcentral